Molecule: ribosomal RNA, 429 nt
Filed under: bacterium
Lineage: Bacteria
Description: partial 16S ribosomal RNA
Rfam family: Bacterial small subunit ribosomal RNA
Source: RNAcentral
UGGGGAAUUUUGGACAAUGGGCGAAAGCCUGAUCCAGCAAUGCCGCGUGUGUGAAGAAGGCCUUCGGGUUGUAAAGCACUUUUGUCCGGAAAGAAAUGGCUCUGGUUAAUACCUGGGGUCGAUGACGGGACCGGAAGAAUAAGGACCGGCUAACUACGUGCCAGCAGCCGCGGUAAUACGUAGGGUCCAAGCGUUAAUCGGAAUUACUGGGCGUAAAGCGUGCGCAGGCGGUUGUGCAAGACCGAUGUGAAAUCCCCGAGCUUAACUUGGGAAUUGCAUUGAUCACUGCACGGCUAGCGUGUGUCAGAGGAGGGUAGAAUUCCACGUGUAGCAGUGAAGUGCGUAGAGAUGUGGAGGAAUACCGAUGGCGAAGGCAGCCCCCUGGGAUAACACUGACGCUCAUGCACGAAAGAGUGGGGAGCAAACAGG